UACGUAGGAUCCAAGCGUUGUCCGGAUUUACUGGGCGUAAAGGGUGCGCAGGCGGCCUGGCUAGUCAGGCGUGAAAUCUCGGCGCUCAACGCCGAAACGUCUUUUGAUACUGCCAGUCUUGAAUAAGCGAGAGAUUCGUGGAAUUCCGAGUGUAGCAGUGAAAUGUGUAGAUAUUCGGAAGAACACCAGUGGCGAAGGCAGCGAAUUGGCGCUUUAUUGACGCUCAGGCACGAAAGCAUGGGGAUCAAACAGG
Molecule: ribosomal RNA, 253 nt
Filed under: uncultured bacterium
Lineage: Bacteria
Description: partial 16S ribosomal RNA
Rfam family: Bacterial small subunit ribosomal RNA
Source: RNAcentral